GCUUUCGUGGUGUAAACGGUAGUACACUCGGCGCGUAUUCGAGAGGUCCAGGUUCGAGUCCCGGCCAGGGCA
Molecule: transfer RNA, 72 nt
Filed under: Stegodyphus mimosarum
Lineage: Eukaryota; Metazoa; Arthropoda; Arachnida; Araneae; Eresidae
Rfam family: tRNA
About the family: Transfer RNA (tRNA) molecules are approximately 80 nucleotides in length.
Source: Rfam by way of RNAcentral